This 750-nucleotide long non-coding RNA is filed under the name Homo sapiens (human). Its description in RNAcentral is "HSALNT0112225". The record is from RNAcentral. Lineage: Eukaryota; Metazoa; Chordata; Mammalia; Primates; Hominidae.
CGGCGGGGCCCCCAGCAAUUCUGGGCCCCAAGGUCACGAUUCACCGAGUCCCCACGCAGCGCAGGCCUUCGCAGUUCGACAAGAAAAUCCUGCUGUGGACAGGGCGUUUCAAAUCGAUGGAGGAGAUCCCGCCUCGGAUCCCGCCAGAAAUGAUAGACACCGCAAGAAACAAAGCUCGAGUGAAAGCUUGUUACAUAAUGAUUGGACUCACAAUUAUCGCCUGCUUUGCUGUGAUAGUGUCAGCCAAAAGGGCUGUAGAACGACAUGAAUCCUUAACAAGUUGGAACUUGGCAAAGAAAGCUAAGUGGCGUGAAGAAGCUGCAUUGGCUGCACAGGCUAAAGCUAAAUGAUAUUCUAAGUGACAAAGUGUUCACCUGAAUACCAUCCCUGUCAUCAGCAACAGUAGAAGAUGGGAAAAAUAGAAUAUUUACCAAAAUAUCUGCCAUGGUUUUAUUUUGGUAACAAGAAGCACAAUGUCUUUUUUAUUUUUAUUUUUUAGUAAACUUUUACUGAAGUAUACCAUGCAUUCAAAAAGUGGACAAAACUGUAUACAGUCUGAUAGAUAUUUAUGUCGUGAACACCUGUGUAACCACUGCCAAAGUGAAGAUGUAGAAUAUUGGCAACACUUCACAGCCUCAUUCCUGCCUUUUCUCAGCCAUUACCUCCCAAACAUAGCAGUUUUUCUGAGUUUCAUCACCUUUGAUUCAUUUUGCCUGUUUUUGAACUUUAUAUAAAUGGAUUUAUACAUUA